GGAGUCAACAGGGUCCUGCUACAGAUCCUUCUCCUCCUCCCUGCCACCAGGAGCUACGGUACAACAGGGGGAUCUUCAGGGAGCCAGGCCAACUCACCUCUCCCUCCCUUGUUACUCCCCUUGCUAGACCCCAGCUGACAUGAAUCUGGCAUGAGCAAAGAGGAAACAAUGAGGCUUUAUUGAAGGAGGGAAGCACAGAUUUCAGCCAAGGAGGCAGGCUACAGGCAAGUCUCGCCAUGAUAUUUCCCCGGAGAAGAUGUUGCACCCAACUGUGUAGAAGCAUCAGGGAUAGUGCUGUCGAAACAUACCAAGGACCUUCAACACCAGUCAAUGAAGAUGAAGGGCCAGAUCUUAAGACCUUCCGCAUGCAUGCGCAUUGCAUUGUGUGGCAUUAAACAAUUUCAGCAUUGCUUACAUACUAUAUACAUAUAUUAAUUAUAUAUGUAUAUAUUGAGGUUUGGCUGCAAUACUUUACUGAAGUGUGUUAUGAGGGUCCAGGGAGGAUAUGCAUGAAAUGGUCAGAUUGUGCAACAGAAAGUUUCCCUACAAUCUCUUUGGGCAAAUGCGUGGUACCUCACAUAGAGAACAGGCAUUUUGUGGUUUUGCUCACGCCAGCAAUUCUUAGGGGUAUGCAGGCUAUACAAUCAAAAUUAUUUGAAUUGUGCAGUAAAUGACUCAUGCUGUUAAGAUAUGUCUGACAUACAGUAGAUUUAUUUGGCUGACACUUAUUUGCAAGAAUGAUAACUUCUCCAUGAGUAUUCCUAGAUAUUAAAUUAUUCUUAUUCUGGGCUAAAUCUGUGAGAGACUUAGCUACUCACCGAAAAACAAAAUUAAGUCUUUUUUUCCUCUAGCAAAAAGAGGUAUGUGGUAAGAAAUUACAUUCAGCUUCUGUGAAAACCGACCAGAUUAUUGUUUGGGUUUUUUAAAUAUCUAAAUAACACAAGGGAAUCUGAUGUGCACACCUAUAAAUCAUUAUACCAGUGUGAUUUUUCAGGUAUGAUGGCUAAAAUGCCAAUUACUGCAUAUGCCACCAAAGAGUUUACAGUUGGCUUAGCAAAAAAGGUGGGGCAUAGCAAGCAACAGGAUACUCCAGGGCAAAUACUAAGGCUCGGGGCCUGACCCCGUAAGCGGCUCAGAGCUCUCAACUCUCAAUGAAAAAUGUACAGCACUCAACACUUUGCAGGAACAGGUUCCUGAUUUCUAGAACUAGCAUCCUAUUUUACAAGUGCAGUUGCCUGCAGGUGCAACAGAUUUCAGGCACAAGUACUACUGUCCAGAGCUCCGACUACCUGAUUGGAUUUUUAAAAAGUGCUCAGAGUUUAAUUGAAGCAGAGUUAGGUCAAAGUUAAGCACUUUUGAAAAUCCUGGCCUUAAAUACUAGCAUUUACUUCUGCAAUUAAUUGUGAAUGCAAAACAUCCCCCACAAAAUUGGAAACUGAGUUAAGGACAUUUUGAAAAACAAACAAAAACACCGUAAAGGCAUUUGUGGCCUCCCAGUGAAUUGAUUGAGAGCACUACUUGCAUUUUAGCACAGAAUUUGGUGCUAUUUUUUUUAGCACAAUGAUAAUGUGCCUGAAUUCUAAAUUUGCAGUAUGACUUAUAAAAUUUAUUUCUGGAUAGAUUUAA
This is a long non-coding RNA of Trachemys scripta elegans, 1626 nucleotides long. RefSeq lists it as uncharacterized. The transcript has 3 exons. NCBI's taxonomy places the organism in Eukaryota, Metazoa, Chordata, Testudines, Emydidae. The record is from RefSeq and is a predicted model, not a curated record.